This is a non-coding RNA of Paenibacillus ferrarius, 46 nucleotides long. Lineage: Bacteria; Bacillati; Bacillota; Bacilli; Caryophanales; Paenibacillaceae. The record is from Rfam.
AAUAUGGUUUUUCUUAAAACCAUUCUCAAAAUCAUUGGCGUAGCGU